AAGUGGAGCAAUCCAUGAGUAAAGUGGCGACCGGGUGAGUAACACGUGACUACCUGCCCUUGAGUGGGGGAUAACCUCGGGAAACCGAGGCUAAUACCGCAUAAUAUCGCAAGAUCAAAGGAGCAAUCCGCUUUUGGAGGGGGUCGCGGCUGAUUAGCUAGUUGGUAAGGUAACGGCUUACCAGGGCGACGAUCGGUAUCCGGCCUGAGAGGGCGCACGGACACACUGGAACUGAAACACGGUCCAGACUCCUACGGGAGGCAGCAGUGGGGAAUUUUGCGCAAUGGGGGAAACCCUGACGCAGCAACGCCGCGUGGAGGAUGAAGCCCCUUGGG
This 335-nucleotide ribosomal RNA is filed under the name uncultured bacterium. RNAcentral describes it as "bacterial SSU rRNA". It matches the Rfam family "Bacterial small subunit ribosomal RNA", at positions 72 to 422 of the family's 1533-position model. The record is from RNAcentral.